AAAUAGUACUUUGCAGAGAGAGUUAACAGGGCGUGAAACCGUUAAUUGGCAAACGAAUCGGAGCCACGAAGUCGUUUCGCUGAGUUGGGUUGAGUUCAGCCUAGAACCUCGGUUCUAGGUGUAUUCUUGGCCCGGCCGUUGUAAGCGUACACUGCAACCAGUUAGACGAUUGAAGAUGGGCCCAGCUGCUCGAGUUAGUAGUAGUGUGGUGUGCCUCGGUGCAUUCAUAUUGCUGGGCUCGGGUAAGUGAGCUAUCCUCAAAUACUGACUGGCAAAAUGAAAAUCGCGUAAGCGUUUUACAAAAAGCGGCUAGGCGUAUGGUUAUCUACGCAGCUGACCAUGGGGUCCUAAGCUCGGCAGUUUUGAAUUUAGGCUUGCUUGCUACCAAUGGGGCAACUCUUGGUGCUUGUAUAGUUUCUAUCUAAUCGGCUGUCGACUUGAUCGUGUGUUGUUUAGUUGUGCUUUGAUGGGGUGGCCAUAUGACUUGGUUUGCAAUUAUUGGCAGUGAGUAGGUCGGCUUUCCGAACGACCCGUCUUGAAACACGGA
Molecule: ribosomal RNA, 547 nt
Filed under: Diptilomiopus acronychia
Lineage: Eukaryota; Metazoa; Arthropoda; Arachnida; Trombidiformes; Diptilomiopidae
Description: partial large subunit ribosomal RNA
Source: RNAcentral